GCAUUAAGAACGUCGGAGGUAUAAUUGCAAUUAUAACCUGUGGAAUAAGUGAAACUGUCACCGAUGUCAUUGACAUUUUUGAUAAAUGUGUUAUCAUGAGCUCUAUGUAAAGAAGAAAUCGGGCUAUAAAUUAGUUCUGGUUGAGGAACAAAGGAAGGAGCCAAAUUAUCCAAAAAUUGAUUAGACAAAGUAGACGGUAGACUGGGGGAUGAAUUCUUGAAAGCUGAUCUAAAACGUUUAAUAUUUUGCCAAACAAAAGAUGGUUUAACUUCAGCCCAGGAACACUCACUAUCCCACCAGGGAGGCAAUGGAAUAUUAUUUGAGGAAGGCUUCUUUGAUGGAAAAACUUCGUCAGCAGUCUCAAUAAUAGCAUGUGCAAAAGCUUCAGAACUCCGAUACACAUCACCUUGGCUUAAGAUAGAAAGAGUUAAGAUCUUAUUAUCUAGGGUAGCUUUGUAUAAAUCCCAGUCUGCGCUAGCCAACUGAUAUUUAAUUCGGAAAGAAGUUUUAGUUUUAUUAAAAUUUUUAAAAGGUAAAUUUAUUAAAAUGGGGAAGUGAUCACUACCAUAAGUGGAGUUUAAGGUUUGCCAAAUCAAUAAUGAGGCUAAACUAGGUGAAGAAAUGGAAAGGUCAGGAGCACUUUUACCUUCAUUAAUAUUGGUUCUUCGUGUAGGAGUGCAAUUAUUUAAAAUACAUAGAUUAAGUUAAUUUACAAUGUCCAACACUUCAUGUCCAUAGUUAUUAUUAUUUGAACUACCCCAUGACUGGUGUUGAGCAUUAAAGUCACCUAAAACAAGUAUAGGUUUGGGAAGAGAUACUAAAAUAUUUUUAACUUCUUUUAAAAUUUGAGAAGAAGGAUGAGGAAUAUAUAUAGAGACAAAGCAAAUGUUAUUUACAAUGAUAGCAAUGAUUGAGAAAUUUUUAUCAUGAGAAGUAAUAUUUACAAGAGAAAAAGAAAGAGGAUGUUUUACUAAUAUUGCAACACCACCAUAGCCAUCAGAUCUAUCUUCUCUAAUACAAGAAUAUCCUUGAAUUUUAAAAAUGGAUUUAGGUUUUAGCCAGGUUUCUUGAAGACAUACUAUGGUGGGAUGAUACUUAUUAAUAAUAUGGAUAAGAUCACUUUUCUUACUAUUUAUACUACGACAAUUCCACUGAAUUGCCUUGGCGUAACUGUCCAUUAUGACUAAUAUAAUUAUUUAUAAUUUCCAUUAUUGGUUGGGCUACGUUGGACGGUUGAUUUUGAUUUAAAAUAUUUAAUAAAGUAAUUAUAAGUUCGACAAUAGAUUGUUUAGAUGAA
Molecule: long non-coding RNA, 1297 nt
Organism: Melitaea cinxia (Glanville fritillary)
Lineage: Eukaryota; Metazoa; Arthropoda; Insecta; Lepidoptera; Nymphalidae
Exons: 2
Source: RefSeq, a predicted model, not a curated record